Molecule: ribosomal RNA, 337 nt
Filed under: Dares cf. murudensis SB0241
Lineage: Eukaryota; Metazoa; Arthropoda; Insecta; Phasmatodea; Heteropterygidae
Description: partial 12S ribosomal RNA
Source: RNAcentral
UGUUCUUUAAACCUAAAGAAUUUGGCGGUAUUUUAGUCUAUUCAGAGGAAUUUGUCCCUUAAUCGAUAGUCCCCGUUUUAUCUUACUUGGAUUUGUUUUCAGUAUGUAUAUCGCCGUUAUAAGUUUAUUUUUUUAGAAUUUUAAUUUACUUUAUAUUUUAUUUUAUGAUAUUUCAGGUCAAGGUGCAGUUAAUAUUUAAGUGGAGAUGAAUUACAAUAUUAUAUAAGUAAAUGGAUUUUUUGUUUAAAAUGUUAAUAAAAGUGGAUUUGAUAGUAAUUUUAUUAAUAGAAUUAUUUUGAUUUUAGCUCUAAAAUAAGUACACAUCGCCCGUCGCUCU